UGCUCUCUCUGGCAGUGCCAUAUGCUAAAAUUGGAAGAAUACAGAGACUGGCAUGGCCCCUGUGCAGGGAUGACACACAUAUUUGUCAAGUGUUCAAUAUUUUA
Molecule: small nuclear RNA, 104 nt
Organism: Cricetulus griseus (Chinese hamster)
Lineage: Eukaryota; Metazoa; Chordata; Mammalia; Rodentia; Cricetidae
Source: Ensembl